Molecule: ribosomal RNA, 449 nt
Filed under: uncultured bacterium
Lineage: Bacteria
Description: partial 16S ribosomal RNA
Rfam family: Bacterial small subunit ribosomal RNA
Source: RNAcentral
AACGAACGCUGGCGGCAGGCUUAACACAUGCAAGUCGAACGAGAUCUUCGGAUCUAGUGGCAGACGGGUGAGGAACACGUGGGAACAUCCCUUUCAGUUCGGAAUAACGUUGGGAAACUAACGCUAAUACCGGAUACGUCCUUCGGGAGAAAGAUUUAUCGCUGAAAGAUUGGCCCGCGUCUGAUUAGCUAGUUGGUGCGGUAACGGCUCACCAAGGCUACGAUCAGUGGUUGAUCGCAGAGGAAGAUCAGCCACUUUGGGACUGAGACACGGCCCAAACUCCUACGGGCGGCAGCAGUGGGGAAUAUUGGCCAAUGGGCGCAAGCCUGAUCCAGCCACGCCGCGUGAGUGAUGACGGCCUUCGGGUUGUAAAGCUCUUUUGUCCGGGAAGAUAAUGGCUGUACCGGAAGAAUAAGCCCCGGCAAACUUCGUGCCAGCAGCCGCCGUAA